This 75-nucleotide transfer RNA is filed under the name Schistocerca americana (American grasshopper). RNAcentral describes it as "tRNA-Pro". It matches the Rfam family "tRNA". From Rfam's summary of the family: Transfer RNA (tRNA) molecules are approximately 80 nucleotides in length. Their secondary structure includes four short double-helical elements and three loops (D, anti-codon, and T loops). Further hydrogen bonds mediate the characteristic L-shaped molecular structure. tRNAs have two regions of fundamental functional importance: the anti-codon, which is responsible for specific mRNA codon recognition, and the 3' end, to which the tRNAs corresponding amino acid is attached (by aminoacyl-tRNA synthetases). tRNAs cope with the degeneracy of the genetic code in two manners: having more than one tRNA (with a specific anti-codon) for a particular amino acid; and 'wobble' base-pairing, i.e. permitting non-standard base-pairing at the 3rd anti-codon position. The record is from RNAcentral. Lineage: Eukaryota; Metazoa; Arthropoda; Insecta; Orthoptera; Acrididae.
GCUUGGGUAGCUCAGUUGGUAGAGCACUUGCCCGCGGAAGGCAAAGGUCCCGAGUUCGAGUCUCGGUCCGAUACA